This 400-nucleotide ribosomal RNA is filed under the name phytoplankton environmental sample. Its description in RNAcentral is "partial small subunit ribosomal RNA". It matches the Rfam family "Eukaryotic small subunit ribosomal RNA", at positions 587 to 988 of the family's 1831-position model. The record is from RNAcentral.
AGCUCCAAUAGCGUAUAUUAAAGUUGUUGCAGUUAAAAAGCUCGUAGUUGAAUUUCUGGUGGGAGUGAUCAGUCCAGCUCAUAGAGUUGGUACUUGCAUCAUCUCCCACCAUCAUUGAAGAUAAUCUUUCUGGCAUUAAGUUGUCGGAUGGAGGAACUUCAUCCUUUACUGUGAAAAAAUUAGAGUGUUCAAAGCAAGCUUAUGCUGUUGAAUAUAUUAGCAUGGAAUAAUAAGAUAGGACUUUGGUGCUAUUUUGUUGGUUUGUGUGCCAUAGUAAUGAUUAAUAGGGUCAGUUGGGGGUAUUUGUAUUCCAUUGUCAGAGGUGAAAUUCUUGGAUUUAUGGAAGACAAACUACUGCGAAAGCAUUUACCAAGGAUGUUUUCAUUAAUCAAGAACGAAA